GACGUUAGCAACAGAAGAAGCACCGGCUAACUCCGUGCCAGCAGCCGCGGUAAUACGGAGGGUGCGAGCGUUAAUCGGAAUUACUGGGCGUAAAAGCGCAUGCAGGUGGUUUGUUAAGUCAGAUGUGAAAAGCCCGGGCUCAAACCUCGGAAACUGCAUUUUGAAAAACUGGCAGACUAGAGUACUGUAGAGGGGGUAGAAUUUCAGGUGUAGCGGUGAAAAUGCGUAGAGAUCUGAAGGAAUACCGGUGGCGAAGGCGGCCCCCUGGACAGAUACUGACACUCAGAUUCGCGAAAGCGUGGGGAGCAAACAGGAUUAGAUACCCUCGGUAG
RNAcentral lists this ribosomal RNA (332 nucleotides) under uncultured bacterium. Its description in RNAcentral is "bacterial SSU rRNA". It matches the Rfam family "Bacterial small subunit ribosomal RNA", at positions 471 to 793 of the family's 1533-position model. The record is from RNAcentral.